Heterocephalus glaber (naked mole-rat) is the source of this 901-nucleotide long non-coding RNA. RefSeq lists it as uncharacterized. The record is from RefSeq and is a predicted model, not a curated record. NCBI's taxonomy places the organism in Eukaryota, Metazoa, Chordata, Mammalia, Rodentia, Bathyergidae.
AGCUGACCUGUUUUCUCCGUCCUGGCCCGCCUCCAUAUUGCCAGUGUGCAGAGGCGGGAGGGAAAGGAAGAGGGAAGUGGAAAGGGAGCAAAGAAGCUAGUGAGGGUCUUGCUAUAUUGCCCAGGCUGGGCUCAAACUUGUGAUCCUCCAUCCCUGGUCUCCCAGAGUGCUGGGACUACAUAUGUGCACCACCAAUGCCAGCAAAGUGACAAGUUUUCACGAUUUCAGUGGCAGGACAAGAAAGUGGCACAAGCAACAAAUCCAAGACAACGUAAAAAAAGGUCCAGUAGUCUAAAACCUGAAAACCCUAAAAAACAAAGUAUUUGGUUUCCGUCACUUCCCUGACAUUCCAGGGGUGGAGUAAGGGGAGGAGCUGGCGAGGGCCUCCCAGUGGAGCACUCAAAAGGGAAGCAGUGGGGUCUGAAGCAGCAACUCCCAUAGAGCACCAGCUGUGGAACUGCAUAGCCCUUCUGCUAUACAUAAAGAACACAUGGUUGCAGCAUUUCCUGUCCUGAGUACUGCAAGCUGCUUUCCAAAGACUGUUCUCAGCUUCAGAUGAUCCCGGGCCUCAACAUUCUAAAGAAUGAAAGAAAGUACCACCCCUAGAAGAGAAAGAAAAUAUUUCCUCUGAAAUUGUGGACGUCUCAUGGCAUCCUUCCAUCACUAACAGUACACCUGCCUCACAGGGCCAGCCAUGGGUAGGCAGUCAGCGUCCAUUCCGGAGGCCGCUGUGGAGUCUUCACAACUUUGGCAACUUCAGGGCUGAGCUGUCCGGCAGUGGUAAUCUUAUUGUGGGAGCCUAUGAGUGACCACUGACCUGAUGGAGGGUUAGUCUCGGCAGGAGGAUGGCUAUUAAUGGGUUGUUUUUAGGUGAAAGCUGAAGAAACCACAAAUAAAAUCC